RNAcentral lists this ribosomal RNA (253 nucleotides) under uncultured bacterium. RNAcentral describes it as "partial 16S ribosomal RNA". It matches the Rfam family "Bacterial small subunit ribosomal RNA", at positions 524 to 776 of the family's 1533-position model. The record is from RNAcentral.
UACGUAGGGUGCAAGCGUUAAUCGGAAUUACUGGGCGUAAAGCGUGCGCAGGCGGUUUUGUAAGUCUGUCGUGAAAUCCCCGGGCUUAACCUGGGAACUGCAUUUGUGACUGCACGGCUAGAGUGCGGCAGAGGGGGAUGGAAUUCCGCGUGUAGCAGUGAAAUGCGUAGAUAUGCGGAGGAACACCGAUGGCGAAGGCAAUCCCCUGGGCCUGCACUGACGCUCAUGCACGAAAGCGUGGGGAGCAAACAGG